GUAGGGAAUCUUCCGCAAUGGGCGAAAGCCUGACGGAGCAACGCCGCGUGAGUGAUGAAGGUCUUCGGAUCGUAAAACUCUGUUAUUAGGGAAGAACAUAUGUGUAAGUAACUGUGCACAUCUUGACGGUACCUAAUCAGAAAGCCACGGCUAACUACGUGCCAGCAGCCGCGGUAAUACGUAGGUGGCAAGCGUUAUCCGGAAUUAUUGGGCGUAAAGCGCGCGUAGGCGGUUUUUUAAGUCUGAUGUGAAAGCCCACGGCUCAACCGUGGAGGGUCAUUGGAAACUGGAAAACUUGAGUGCAGAAGAGGAAAGUGGAAUUCCAUGUGUAGCGGUGAAAUGCGCAGAGAUAUGGAGGAACACCAGUGGCGAAGGCGACUUUCUGGUCUGUAACUGACGCUGAUGUGCGAAAGCGUGGGGAUCAAACAGGAUUAGAUACCCUGGUAGUCCACGCCGUAAACGAUGAGUGCUAAGUGUUAGGGGGUUUCCGCCCCUUAGUGCUGCAGCUAACGCAUUAAGCACUCCGCCUGGGGAGUACGACCGCAAGGUUGAAACUCAAAGGAAUUG
Molecule: ribosomal RNA, 567 nt
Filed under: Staphylococcus aureus
Lineage: Bacteria; Bacillati; Bacillota; Bacilli; Caryophanales; Staphylococcaceae
Description: bacterial SSU rRNA
Rfam family: Bacterial small subunit ribosomal RNA
Source: RNAcentral